RNAcentral lists this ribosomal RNA (301 nucleotides) under uncultured bacterium. RNAcentral describes it as "partial 16S ribosomal RNA". It matches the Rfam family "Bacterial small subunit ribosomal RNA", at positions 509 to 809 of the family's 1533-position model. The record is from RNAcentral.
CAGUAGCCGCGGUAAUACAGAGGUCUCAAGCGUUGUUCGGAUUCAUUGGGCGUAAAGGGUGCGUAGGUGGCGGUGUAAGUCUAACGUGAAAUCUCGGGGCUCAACCCGAAGCCUGCACGAGAAACUACCGGGCUUGAGUAUUGGAGAGGUGAGUGGAAUUUCCGGUGUAGCGGUGAAAUGCGUAGAUAUCGGAAGGAACACCUGUGGCGAAAGCGGCUCACCGGACAAUAACUGACGCUGAUGCACGAAAGCUAGGGGAGCAAACAGGAUUAGAUACCCGCGUAGUCCCUGUCUCUUAUAA